UGGCCGAGGCCACCAAUCAGCUGCGGUCCUGGGUUCUGGUCAAAGGUCACAUCUUUCUCUCUGUGGAGUCAGCUGGCCCCUUCGUCACCUUCCUACAAUAUCUUGCCUUUCUCUCUAAAGAACUUCUCCACCCUCAGAACAGUGUGAUAACCUGCAAUAUGGAGCAGCCAGGGCUGGAAGGAAACCAUGGGUACUAGGAUGGUGAGGACCAUGUCAGGAGGAACCCUUCCCACUCUCUAAGCUGGCAGUGAAAAUCCAGAGCCCUCUGCUAGCAAGGCAGGGUGCUGGUGGGCCGCUGGCUUCUCCCCCAUCCACAGGGUCUGUCCAUGUUCUGAAGGGUGGGCACGCACACACCAAGAAAAGAGAAAACUGGUACAGAGCACGGUCCUAGUGCAGUGGCUUGGGGAAGAAGAAUCCAUCAAUGUGGCCAGCUUGGGCCUCAUCCACAUCCAUGCCCCUCAGGAGAAUGGCCCAAUGCCAAUCAUAUUAACCCAGGUGAAAAGGCAGUUUAAGAAGAGGAGGCCAGGGCUCCAGAGGGGUGCCAAGGAUACUGGGGGACUCUGCUCAGGUGGGCCUAAAGCUAUGCCAGGGAGGCUCUGGAUCCAUGAGAACUCCAUCCCAUCACACUGGAGAGAUUUCACUAAUCCAACAGCAUGGAGCCCACAGGGGUAAGACACACACGCUAGAAAGUUCCAAGACAACAGGAGAGAACCUCAGGACACUGCUCUCAGUCCGGGAUUGAAGAAUAAACAAGAAUAAGAAGAAGUAAGAUCCAAAUAAUUUAACUUAAAAGACUGAAGUAGACGUAUAAACAGCAGACCCUGUAAAAAAGAUGGCAUCUUUUUCCAAGUAGCCACGGAAUACUCACAAUGUUGGCCAUAGGUAAGCCACAAAUAAACUGUCAAUAAAUGAUCAAAGGCAUAGAGAACACAGGCCGCAUUCUUUGAUCAGAAAUCAAUAAAAGUAGAUAUUAAUAAUCAAAAAAGAAAGAGAUAUACAAAGUUCCCAAUCUCCCAACUCCCACACACCUGGAAAAUUAAGAAAAUGUCCUCAUAAGUGACGUCAGGUGGAAAGAGAAUGGAAGACUGUUAGUAUGCAAAAUGUAGAAAAUGAUGAGGAAAAACAUGAAUACCAGCGGGACAAAGCCUGCGUCAUCCUCGGGAGGAAGGUCCAGAGCCUGAAUUAUUUCAUCACCAAGCCCAAAGGAAUCAACAUCAAUGGACUGAACAUUCAACUUCAGAUUUUAGUAAAGUAUAAAAGGCCAAACAAAAGAAUAAAACAAAAGAAUAUCAACAUGAA
Molecule: non-coding RNA, 1299 nt
Organism: Ictidomys tridecemlineatus (thirteen-lined ground squirrel)
Lineage: Eukaryota; Metazoa; Chordata; Mammalia; Rodentia; Sciuridae
Source: RefSeq, a predicted model, not a curated record